This 420-nucleotide ribosomal RNA is filed under the name uncultured bacterium. Its description in RNAcentral is "bacterial SSU rRNA". It matches the Rfam family "Bacterial small subunit ribosomal RNA", at positions 356 to 773 of the family's 1533-position model. The record is from RNAcentral.
GAGGAAUAUUGGUCAAUGGACGAGAGUCUGAACCAGCCAAGUAGCGUGAAGGAUGACUGCCCUAUGGGUUGUAAACUUCUUUUAUAUGGGAAUAAAGUGAGCCACGUGUGGCUUUUUGUAUGUACCAUACGAAUAAGGAUCGGCUAACUCCGUGCCAGCAGCCGCGGUAAUACGGAGGAUCCGAGCGUUAUCCGGAUUUAUUGGGUUUAAAGGGAGCGUAGGCGGACUAUUAAGUCAGCUGUGAAAGUUUGCGGCUCAACCGUAAAAUUGCAGUUGAUACUGGUCGUCUUGAGUGCAGUAGAGGUAGGCGGAAUUCGUGGUGUAGCGGUGAAAUGCUUAGAUAUCACGAAGAACUCCGAUUGCGAAGGCAGCUUACUGGACUGUAACUGACGCUGAUGCUCGAAAGUGUGGGGAUCAAAC